UACGGAGGGUGCGAGCGUUGUCCGGAAUCACUGGGCGUAAAGGGCGCGUAGGCGGCUUGGGAAGUCCGUGGUGAAAGCUCGAGGCUCAACUUCGAGUCGGCCAAGGGUACUCCUAAGCUCGAGUCGACUAGAGGCAGAUGGAAUUCCGGGUGUAGCGGUGGAAUGCGUAGAGAUCCGGAAGAACACCGGUGGCGAAGGCGGUCUGCUGGGGUCGAACUGACGCUGAGGCGCGACAGCGUGGGGAGCAAACAGG
RNAcentral lists this ribosomal RNA (253 nucleotides) under uncultured bacterium. Its description in RNAcentral is "partial 16S ribosomal RNA". It matches the Rfam family "Bacterial small subunit ribosomal RNA", at positions 524 to 776 of the family's 1533-position model. The record is from RNAcentral.